GUUAGCUGCGUUCCUUUUCUUUUUAGAAGACAAAGGAAUCGUCCGGUUCGAAUAUUAUGGAAGAUUUAUAAUAAAAACAUCCUAAAGAUUGAUUCUAUACAUCGUUUGACAUUCUAUACAUCGUCUGAAAUAUAACUUUUUAGACUUUCGUCUGAACUUAACUGCACGAGCACAAUGCAUUUGGAGUACUCUACCGAACGCGCGAACAAAAAGGAGGUAUUUGGACAUAUAUAUGGACUUUAUCGAAACAAAUGAACAUUUAUUGGGGAACUGGGAUUCCUGGGAGUGCAUUCUGACGAAGAUCAUCAAAGGAUCUGAGCCCUAGGACCAUGCCUCAGGACUACCUGGUAUGAUGACUCCUUGCUGUCCCCAGUCCACCUGGCCGUGCUGCUGCUCCAGUUUCAACUGUUCUGCCUGCGGCUAUGGAACCCUGACCUGUUCACCGGACGUGCUUGUUGCACCCUCGACAACUACUAUGAUUAUUAUUAUUUGACCAUGCUGGUCAUUUAUGAACAUUUUAACAUCUUGACCAUGUUCUGUUAUAAUAUCCACCCUGCACAGCCAGAAGAGGACUGGCCACCCCUCAUAGCCUGGUUCCUCUCUAGGUUUCUUCCUAGGUUUUUGGCCUUUCUAGGGAGUUUUUCCUAGGGAGUUUUUCCUAGCCACCGUGCUUCUUUCACAUGCUUUGCUUGCUGUUUGGGGUUUUAGGCUGGGUUUCUGUACAGCACUUUGAGGUAUCAGCUGAUGUACGAAGGGCUAUAUAAAUAAAUUUGAUUUGAUUUAGGCAAGAGGCCCGCGGGCAUACAUAUACCCGUAGUAAUUUAUUGUCUAUGCACACUAGGAAAGACCUGGGCGGACCAUCCCCUGUAUUUUGUUUAGUGCACCAGGUGGUGCUAGUUAGGUAAGUAGUGGGUAGGCAGGUAAGGUAGGAGAGGGGGCUUUGAUAUUUAGUUUCUUUGCUUUGGUUCCGUCCAGCCCCUUUUCCCCAACUUACCGCGUGAAGGAAUAAAUUCCCUGUUAACGGUAUUCUCUGCCUUUUUGUCAUCCUUACUCACACCUACACUUCCAUACCUUUUUCACACCACGG
This 1087-nucleotide long non-coding RNA is filed under the name Salmo salar (Atlantic salmon). RNAcentral's name for it is "lncRNA (ENSSSAG00000119032.1)". The record is from RNAcentral. Lineage: Eukaryota; Metazoa; Chordata; Actinopteri; Salmoniformes; Salmonidae.